This 468-nucleotide ribosomal RNA is filed under the name uncultured bacterium. RNAcentral's name for it is "partial 16S ribosomal RNA". It matches the Rfam family "Bacterial small subunit ribosomal RNA", at positions 28 to 507 of the family's 1533-position model. The record is from RNAcentral.
GACGAACGCUGGCGGCGUGCUUAACACAUGCAAGUCGAACGGAAAGGCCCUGCUUUUGUGGGGUGCUCGAGUGGCGAACGGGUGAGUAACACGUGAGUAACCUGCCCUUGACUUUGGGAUAACUUCAGGAAACUGGGGCUAAUACCGGAUAGGAGCUCCUGCUGCAUGGUGGGGGUUGGAAAGUUUCGGCGGUUGGGGAUGGACUCGCGGCUUAUCAGCUUGUUGGGGGGGUAGUGGCUUACCAAGGCUUUGACGGGUAGCCGGCCUGGGAGGGUGACCGGCCACAUUGGGACUGAGAUACGGCCCAGACUCCUACGGGAGGCAGCAGUGGGGAAUAUGGCACAAUGGGCGGAAGCCUGAUGCAGCAACGCCGCGUGCGGGAUGACGGCCUUCGGGUUGUAAACCGCUUUCGCCUGUGACGAAGCGUGAGUGACGGUAAUGGGUAAAGAAGCACCGGCUAACUACGUG